Molecule: ribosomal RNA, 518 nt
Filed under: uncultured bacterium
Lineage: Bacteria
Description: bacterial SSU rRNA
Rfam family: Bacterial small subunit ribosomal RNA
Source: RNAcentral
AACGAACGCUGGCGGCAGGCCUCAUACAUGCAAGUCGAGCGAUUAAGACUCCUUCGGGAGUGUAUAAAGCGGCGAACGGGUGAGUAACAGGUGGAUGAUCUACCUUCCGGUGGGGGAUAACGGCUGGAAACGGCCGCUAAUACCGCAUUCGGUUAAUACGCUGCGGCGUAUUAAAGAAAGGCGCUUCAAAGCGCCGCCGGGAGAUGAGUCCGCCCCCCAUUAGCUAGUUGGUGAGAUAACAGCUCACCAAGGCAACGAUGGGUAGCCGAACUGAGAGGUUGAUCGGCCACACUGGAACUGAGACACGGUCCAGACACCUACGGGUGGCAGCAGUAGGGAAUAUUGGGCAAUGGGCGAAAAGCCUGACCCAGCCAUGCCGCGUGAGUGAUGAAGGUCCUAGAGAUUGUAAAAACUCUUUCUUGAGGAAAGAAUAAAAUAAGGGAAGGAAAUGUCCUUAUUUUGACGGUACCUCAGGAAUAAGGAACGGCUAACUCCGUGCCAGCAGCCGCGGUAAAAGU